GCCUACGGGGGGCAGCAGUGAGGAAUAUUGGUCAAUGGCCGAGAGGCUGAACCAGCCAAGUCGCGUGAGGGAAGACGGCCCUACGGGUUGUAAACCUCUUUUGUCGGGGAGCAAAGCGAGUCACGUGUGACUCAUUGAGAGUACCCGAAGAAAAAGCAUCGGCUAACUCCGUGCCAGCAGCCGCGGUAAUACGGAGGAUGCGAGCGUUAUCCGGAUUUAUUGGGUUUAAAGGGUGCGCAGGCGGAGGUGCAAGUCAGCGGUCAAAUUGCGGGGCUCAACCCCGGACUGCCGUUGAAACUGCAUCC
This 305-nucleotide ribosomal RNA is filed under the name uncultured bacterium. RNAcentral's name for it is "bacterial SSU rRNA". It matches the Rfam family "Bacterial small subunit ribosomal RNA", at positions 337 to 640 of the family's 1533-position model. The record is from RNAcentral.